UGCAGGACAAGCGCCAGGACAUUAUCUGCGAGGACCAAUGUGAGCCAGGUGUGGCGGGCACGUGCAGCCAUGGGCACAUCUGCAUCACCGUCAGCGGCUGCCACAGGUGCAUGAUCAUCUUACCCGGAAAACGCCAGAUAAUUCAAUGCCCUAUGUUGAUGUGUGCCAGCUUCUGCCAGUACGGCUACAAGCUGGGAGCUGACGGCUGUAGAGGCUGCGAAUGUAAUCCGGCUCCCACAGCUUAAAGCCUGUGUCACAGCUGUGAGUGUAAUCCUGUAUCGCAUUUGUCAGACCCGUGAGCUGUUGUACGCGAAUGUAGUGCUCACCUAGAGGUUGAUGGAAAUGUCGAGCUCUCACAUCAACUUUCACAUCAACUUUCACAUCAACUUUUACAUCAACUAACACGAUAAUAAAAAACAUUUAAACAAAAGAAC
This is a long non-coding RNA of Physella acuta, 434 nucleotides long. RefSeq lists it as uncharacterized. Lineage: Eukaryota; Metazoa; Mollusca; Gastropoda; Physidae. The record is from RefSeq and is a predicted model, not a curated record.